RNAcentral lists this ribosomal RNA (228 nucleotides) under uncultured bacterium. RNAcentral's name for it is "partial 16S ribosomal RNA". It matches the Rfam family "Bacterial small subunit ribosomal RNA", at positions 568 to 795 of the family's 1533-position model. The record is from RNAcentral.
UGCGUAGGCGGAAAAUUAAGUCAGAGGUGAAAUCCCACAGCUCAACUGUGGAACUGCCUUUGAUACUGGUUGUCUUGAGUUACAGUGAAGUAGAUAGAAUAUGUAGUGUAGCGGUGAAAUGCAUAGAUAUUACAUAGAAUACCGAUUGCGAAGGCAGUCUACUAACUGUAUACUGACGCUAAUGGACGAAAGCGUGGGGAGCGAACAGGAUUAGAUACCCUGGUAGUC